Molecule: ribosomal RNA, 513 nt
Filed under: Apalacris varicornis
Lineage: Eukaryota; Metazoa; Arthropoda; Insecta; Orthoptera; Acrididae
Description: partial 16S ribosomal RNA
Rfam family: Archaeal large subunit ribosomal RNA
Source: RNAcentral
GUCCUCUUGAUAAUAUUAUGAGGUCCGGCCUGCUCACUGACGAGGUUUAAUUAAAGAGCCGCGGUAAUUUGACCGUGCAAAGGUAGCAUAAUCAUUAGUCUCUUAAUUAGGGGCUGGAAUGAAUGGCUUGACGAGAAAUCAACUGUCUCUUGAUAAAUUUUUGAAUUUAACUUUUGAGUCAAAAGGCUUAAAUUUUUCUUAAGGACGAGAAGACCCUAUAGAGCUUGACAUUUUAUUUAUAUAUAAUUUUUAGUUAGUCUUUUUAUAUUUAUUGAUGAUGUUUUGUUGGGGUGACAUGAAAAAUAAUUAAACUCUUCAUUAUUAAAUCAUUGAUUUAUGUAUAAAUGAUGAUCCAUAAUUUAUGAUCAUAAGAUUAAGUUACCUUAGGGAUAACAGCGUAAUUAUUUUCGAGAGCUCAUAUCGACAAAUUAGAUUUCGCACCUCGAUGUUGGAUUAAGAAAAAUUUUGGGUGCAGGAGCCCAGUGAUUAGGUCUGUUCGACCUUUAAAUUCUU